UUAACAAUAAAAAGUCUCCCCCGCCGGCCGGAGCAGCGAGCAGCGGGCGAAGCGAGGAGGAGAUGCCGCCGCCGGAGGGGGAGGGGGAGGAGCGGAGGAAGCCGUCGCCUGCGGAGUCCCGCGAGUGGACGCAGCGCUUCUUCCGGGGCCUCGGCGUGGACGCGCCCCUCCCGGCCGCCGCGGAUCGCUCCGACGCCUACUCCGCGCUCGUCCGGGGGGUCCUCUCCUCCGCCACCGUCUCCGCGGCCGGCCCGCCGCGCGUCUCCUGCACGCUCACCAUCUCCCACGCCGCCAUCAACGCGUACAACACGAUCCACGGCGGCAUGGUGAUGGGCGUAGCGGAGGCCGUCGGGAUGGCGUGCGCGCGCGCCGCGGUCGGGGACAAGGAGAUGUUCCUCGGCGAGCUCAGCACCGCCUAUCUCUCCGCCGCGCGCCUCAAUUCUGAAAUGGAAGUCGAAGCGCAGAUACUCAGGAAGGGCAGAUCUGUGGUGGUUACCACGGUUGAGUUUAGGCUCAAGGAAACCAAGAAGCUCUGCUACUUGUCUCGAGCCACCUUCUAUAUCAUGCCCGUGUCGAGCCUGUGAAUAAUCACCAUGGACGACACUACGAUAGCGUGUCUGUUUACACAACAAUAAUGGAAAGGAUAAAGUUGACGGCAUGAAAAUAUACUUCACGAUGAAUCUACAUAUUAAUGAGACAUGAGUUCCGGUUCGGAUCUUGCAAGCUUGGAUGGUAGCGGCCACACUACCGAAGAAGAAGAUGAGGUGCUAUUUGCGCUGCUUGAGUCGUUGGAGUUGAACAUUGCUCAACGGGUGGCAGCAAGGAUUCCUCAGCAAUCUGGGAUUGAAUGGGUGAUGCAAACCAUGAGUGAUGCAACACAAUGUAGGGGGGAAUGUUUCGUCUAGCUGCAGACCUGAUUCAUGCAUUGCAUUGGCUGCUGACUACUCGGUACGCACUUGGGAUUUUCUUAUUUAUCAUGGCAGGUUCGCAAGGCAACGGAGUUGCCAACAAUAGGUUGGUUAGUUUAGGGUCUACCAUUUCCCGAUAUUUCCAUCGCAUCCUCAAUUUGGUUGCCAUGCUAGCUGCAGAUAUUGUUAAGCCAGCUGACCCUAAUUUUGAAAUGGUGCAUCAUCUUAUAAUGGAUGGAUGAUCCUAGAUACCAUCCCUUUUAUUCUUCGGUUGGGGCAGUGAACGGAACACACGUUCCUAUGGUGGUUCACUCUGACACUGCUAAUGAGCAUAGGAACAUGCAUCAUUACACAAGUAGGAAUGUGCUUGCUGUUGUUGGAUGGGAUAUGAGGGUGCUAUUUGUGGAUUCGGGAUGGCCGAGAUCUGUUCACGACUAAGGGCACCCGCAAUGGUUUAGACGACAGCCGUCUGUUCAGUGCUAAACAGACAGCUUAACAGACAACUCCUUCAACCCAAAAGACAACUAGUUGUCUGUUUGGUUGUUUAAUACUCUACAUGCAACCGUAGAUCAAUCA
RNA transcript from Oryza brachyantha (malo sina), 1484 nucleotides. It is a transcript of the gene named acyl-coenzyme A thioesterase 13-like, with no coding region annotated. The transcript is spliced from 5 exons. The record is from RefSeq and is a predicted model, not a curated record. NCBI's taxonomy places the organism in Eukaryota, Viridiplantae, Streptophyta, Magnoliopsida, Poales, Poaceae.